This 210-nucleotide ribosomal RNA is filed under the name uncultured Geobacter sp. RNAcentral's name for it is "partial 16S ribosomal RNA". It matches the Rfam family "Bacterial small subunit ribosomal RNA", at positions 1174 to 1382 of the family's 1533-position model. The record is from RNAcentral. Lineage: Bacteria; Pseudomonadati; Thermodesulfobacteriota; Desulfuromonadia; Geobacterales; Geobacteraceae.
UGGGGAUGACGUCAAGUCCUCAUGGCCCUUAUGACCAGGGCUACACACGUGCUACAAUGGCCGGUACAAAGAGUUGCGAUACCGCGAGGUGGAGCUAAUCUCAUAAAGCCGGUCUCAAGUUCGGAUUGGAGUCUGCAACUCGACUCCAUGAAGUUGGAAUCGCUAGUAAUCGCGGAUCAGCGCGCCGCGGUGAAUACGUUCCCGGGCCUU